RNAcentral lists this long non-coding RNA (510 nucleotides) under Malus domestica (apple). Its description in RNAcentral is "long non-coding RNA (MDOM_LNC018101)". Lineage: Eukaryota; Viridiplantae; Streptophyta; Magnoliopsida; Rosales; Rosaceae. The record is from RNAcentral.
AACAAUAUAUACAUAUUCAUUAUAUCUAUUGUAUUUUAUAGUAAGGUUUUUUUAGUAGUUUAAAAAAUUAAAAUCAUCAAAAUAACUUUUUUCUUACCGUGUCGAAACAGGUUACUUGCGUGUCACUCUCGUGUAAACUUGUUGAGGACCCGUUAUUAUCGUGUGACCUGAUAAUGACCCGAUUAGUUAUCUUGUUCACCCGAAACCCGUUAUUUUCAUGUCGUUUACGUGUCGUGUUAACAAGUCGUGUAAGAAAUUGCUAGGUCUAUUGGUAGUACUCCUCGAUUUCGUCCGUAUUUAGUAAUGCACUUUUGAAGAUAGGCUUCGGUUCCUCGCUUAUGCUUAAGUUGAGCUCCUUGAGAUCAUCAAAUGUAGCUUACCCCUCAUCCUCGAGCUGUGGUGGCGCAACAGUGACGUCUUCUUCAGGGACUUCGUCUUCUUCAUCUUCUUGGAUUAUGAUGUGGAAGACGUCUUGGACCUUCUCUUCAGUGACAUUCUCUUAGGCUUGUU